This 781-nucleotide ribosomal RNA is filed under the name uncultured Neocallimastigales. RNAcentral describes it as "partial large subunit ribosomal RNA". It matches the Rfam family "Eukaryotic large subunit ribosomal RNA", at positions 24 to 639 of the family's 3401-position model. Lineage: Eukaryota; Fungi; Neocallimastigomycota; Neocallimastigomycetes; Neocallimastigales. The record is from RNAcentral.
UACGACUACAUAUCAGGCAUAUCAAUAAGCGGAGGAAAAGAAACUAACUAGGAUUCCCUCAGUAACGGCGAGUGAAGCGGGAAGAGCUCAAAUUUGAAAUCUUCAAGGUUUUACCUUGACGAAUUGUAGUUUAAAGAAGUGUUUUCUGUUGAAGUUUCGGUAAAAGUUCUUUGGAAUAGGACAUCAUAGAGGGUGAGAAUCCCGUAUUUGACCGUUACUUUCAGCUGUGUGAUACACUUUCAAAGAGUCGGAUUGUUUGGGAAUGCAGUCCAAAAUGGGUGGUAAAUUUCAUCUAAAGCUAAAUAUUGGCGAGAGACCGAUAGCGAACAAGUACCGUGAGGGAAAGAUGAAAAGAACUUUGAAAAGAGAGUUAAACAGUACGUGAAAUUGUCAAAAGGGAAGCGUUUGACACCAGUGUUGUUUUUCUCGAAAAUCAAUUAAAAAUGGCUUGAUUUUGUGUUGUAUUGACCUUAAAAGCUUUCUUCACUUUUUUCAUGUCUUAUUUUUAAUGCACUUUUCGUUUAACAAGUCAACAUCAGUUUCUUUUGUUGUAAAAAGGUCAUUGGAAGGUGGCUUUCUUUUCGGAGAAAGUGUUUAUAGCCUUUGACUCCUGCAAUCGGAGAGACUGAGGUCAUGCAGCGUAGAUCCUUUGGGAUUAGAUUACAUUUGUGCUAAGUUAUAGCUUUUAUAGACUAACAUGUUGACUAUGAUUAGUCAUUGUAGCUUACUCGCUUACUGCUAUUUUACCUACGCUUAGGAUGUUGACGCGCGUGUGUGCGUG